AAAUGCGAUACGUAAUGUGAAUUGCAAAUUCAGUGAAUCAUCGAGUCUUUGAACGCACAUUGCGCCCCCUGGUAUUCCGGGGGGCAUGCCUGUCCGAGCGUCAUUUCUGCCCUCAAGCACGGCUUGUGUGUUGGGCCCCGUCCUCCGAUCCCGGGGGACGGGCCCGAAAGGCAGCGGCGGCACCGCGUCCGGUCCUCGAGCGUAUGGGGCUUUGUCACCCGCUCUGUAGGCCCGGCCGGCGCUUGCCGAUCAACCCAAAUUUUUAUCCAGGUUGACCUCGGAUCAGGUGGGGAUACCCGCUGAACUUAAGC
This 311-nucleotide unclassified non-coding RNA is filed under the name plant metagenome. RNAcentral describes it as "partial contains 5.8S ribosomal RNA, internal transcribed spacer 2, and large subunit ribosomal RNA". The stretch from base 1 to 103 matches the Rfam family "5.8S ribosomal RNA", at positions 51 to 154 of the family's 154-position model. The record is from RNAcentral.